Molecule: long non-coding RNA, 238 nt
Organism: Triplophysa rosa
Lineage: Eukaryota; Metazoa; Chordata; Actinopteri; Cypriniformes; Nemacheilidae
Exons: 3
Source: RefSeq, a predicted model, not a curated record
UGUGCAGUGUGCCUGCAUCGGUUCAAAAACAGAGAGGGACGCAAGAGCACACUCAACAAGAGCUGAUAGAAAAGUCUAAGCAAGAGAUUUUCCUGUAGUCAUGCAGUCUCAAGUUUCAGUUGUGCAGGAUGGCUAAUGAGUGGAGUGAUGAAUUUUCUGGUAGAGUGAUGCAGUUUCUCAGUGGGGUCGUUGGACUGGUGGAGUUGCUGGAGCUGGUGGGGUGGUUUGAUGAUUAGCC